UACAGAGGGGGCAAGCGUUAUUCGGAAUUAUUGGGCGUAAAGCGCUUGUAGGCGGCACGUCAAGUCGCGUGUGAAAUCCCCAGGCUUAACCUGGGAAGUGCGCGCGAAACUGACGAGCUUGAGUGCCGGAGAGGGUCGCGGAAUUCCCGGUGUAGAGGUGAAAUUCGUAGAUAUCGGGAGGAACACCAGUGGCGAAGGCGGCGACCUGGACGGACACUGACGCUGAGACGCGAAAGCGUGGGGAGCAAACAGG
This 253-nucleotide ribosomal RNA is filed under the name uncultured bacterium. Its description in RNAcentral is "partial 16S ribosomal RNA". It matches the Rfam family "Bacterial small subunit ribosomal RNA", at positions 524 to 776 of the family's 1533-position model. The record is from RNAcentral.